This 1515-nucleotide ribosomal RNA is filed under the name uncultured prokaryote. RNAcentral's name for it is "partial 16S ribosomal RNA". It matches the Rfam family "Bacterial small subunit ribosomal RNA". The record is from RNAcentral.
AGAGUUUGAUCGUGGCUCAGAUUGAACGCUGGCGGUAUGCUUAACACAUGCAAGUCGAACGGUAGCAGUAUGAUUGAUCCUUCGGGUGAUUUUAUAGCUGACGAGUGGCGGACGGGUGAGUAAUGCGUAGGAAUCUGCCUAAAAGUGGGGGACAACCUGGGGAAACUCAGGCUAAUAGCAUAAUCUCUACGGAGUAAAGCAGGGGACCUUUCGGGGCCUUGCGCUUUUAGAUGAGCCUGCGUCGGAUUAGCUAGUUGGUGGGGUAAAGGCCUACCAAGGCGACGAUCCGUAGCUGUUCUGAGAGGAAGAUCAGCCACACUGGGACUGAGACACGGCCCAGACUCCUACGGGAGGCAGCAGUGGGGAAUAUUGGACAAUGGGGGCAACCCUGAUCCAGCCAUGCCGCGUGUGUGAAGAAGGCCUUAGGGUUGUAAAGCACUUUCAGUAGGGAGGAAAAGUUAGUCGUUAAUAACGGCUAACCCUGACGUUACCUACAGAAGAAGCACCGGCAAACUCCGUGCCAGCAGCCGCGGUAAUACGGAGGGUGCGAGCGUUAAUCGGAAUUACUGGGCGUAAAGCGCGCGUAGGCGGCCUGAUAAGUUGGAUGUGAAAGCCCUGGGAUCAACCUAGGAAAUGAAUUAAAAAAUGUCAGGCUAUAGUAUGGUAGAGGUGAGUUGAAUUUCCUGUGUAGCGGUGAAAUGCGUAGAUAUAGGAAGGAACAUCAGUGGCGAAGGCGACUCACUGGCACAACACUGACGCUGAGGUGCGAAAGCGUGGGUAGCAAACGGGAUUAGAUACCCCGGUAGUCCACGCCGUAAACGAUGUCAACUAACUGUUGGGCGGGUUUCCGCUUUUAGUAGCGUAGCUAACGCGAUAAGUUGACCGCCUGGGGAGUACGGCCGCAAGGCUAAAACUCAAAUGAAUUGACGGGGGCCCGCACAAGCGGUGGAGCAUGUGGUUUAAUUCGAUGCAACGCGAAGAACCUUACCUACCCUUGACAUCCAGAGAAUCGUUAGAGAUAGUAGAGUGCCUUCGGGAAUUCUGACACAGGUGCUGCAUGGCUGUCGUCAGCUCGUGUCGUGAGAUGUUGGGUUAAGUCCCGUAACGAGCGCAACCAUUAUCCUUAGUUCCCAGCGCCUUAAGUUGGGCACUCUAAGGAGACUGCCGGUGACAAACCGGAGGAAGGUGGGGACGACGUCAAGUCAUCAUGGCCCUUACGAGUAGGGCUACACACGUGCUACAAUGGUGAGUACAGAGGGAAGCAAACUUGCGAGAGUAAGCGGAUCCCUUAAAGCUCAUCGUAGUCCGGAUCGGAGUCUGCAACUCGACUCCGUGAAGUCGGAAUCGCUAGUAAUCGCAAAUCAGAAUGUUGCGGUGAAUACGUUCCCGGGCCUUGUACACACCGCCCGUCACACCAUGGGAGUGGGUUGCAAAAGAAGUAGCUAGUCUAACCUUCGGGAGGACGGUUACCACUUUGUGAUUCAUGACUGGGGUGAAGUCGUAACAAGGUAGCCA